UGGACACAGAAUGUUACAUGGCAGGUAACGAGAAUUCUGACAAGGAAAGCAGAAUUAAGCGGAAGCGGAAACGCUCCCUGUUCCUGCGUUUAAGAAAAGCAUUUGGGGGGACAGCCUCCGAUGCCGAUGAUGAGCACACCUAGGAAGAGGCAGUGUCGAUGUGGCAGACUGGGGGUGCAAAGAUUGUCGGUCUGACACCAGUGACAGCCUGGAUGUGGACACCCCCAGCCUGUCUCAGAAUCUCCAUACAUCAGGACCUCCACAUAGUCAAGCACAGCAGAAGCCUCACUCAAUGCUCACCUCCUAGGGCACCUCACUUAGUGUAAUCUCUGUUGUUUAAUUGCGUAUCCCUUGUUUUAUCCUUUAGUUUUAUCUAUAUGUUCUACGUGUUCAGUAUUUAUCUCUAUGUUGUGUUUUAUGAAAUAAAAUGUUUUAUUAAUUU
Sus scrofa (pig) is the source of this 442-nucleotide long non-coding RNA. RefSeq lists it as uncharacterized. NCBI's taxonomy places the organism in Eukaryota, Metazoa, Chordata, Mammalia, Artiodactyla, Suidae. The record is from RefSeq and is a predicted model, not a curated record.